UGCUAGUAGGCAGUAGUUUUUUUACCGAGUUUUCGUGCUCCUUAAGCCUCCGCUGUUCCCAGUGGCCACGCUCGGGGCCUUGGGCGUUAUGCUGCACCGUGACAGACACUGACCUUACGAAACUCACUUUGGCGUAUAGCGAACACUGGCGCUCGUGCCUCGUAUCACGUCCACCACUUCUCUUUUGCACAAAGUUCUCGCGCCAAAUCGCAGACCACUGAUACCUUAUAGGAGCAGAAAAAUACUUUUGUAACCAUCUGUCCGACACCCACAUUCUUCUUUCCGUGAGGCAAUGCAUGCAGGAAGGGAUAACUUAAAAGUUCCCCCAUCCCUGAAUUUAGGCCUUUGCUACGGCACCAUAUUUGUGCAGUUUGAAUGCAUUAUAAGUUUCGGUAUCUUUUGAGUGGACCUGCCAUAAAAAGCAUCUAGUGUGUUCUAGAUUUAGCGCAACAUCUUUAGAAAUUCUUUUCUUUCCUAAUAUUCUUUUUUUUUUUCAGGAAGCUCGAGGCCUGCCAGAAGGUAUUUGCACUACUACGAUGGAGGGAACCAUUGCGGUGUGUUUGUGCUCACCAAAGACGGGAAACGUCACUGUGAGCUUCAUGUGUGGCCAAGUGGCAUAAUUACAGAGGACAAAUAUUAUUACGUGAACAAAUCUUGUAUUGUGCCCUAUCAUGACGUCUGCGGGGAAGAAAAGCCAACGGUCACCAUUUAUACCGGCGCCUGCACCAAGUGAGAACAGUGAGACUCCGAGCUUAUGAGUGGUUAUCGUCGAGCCUUUCAUUAAAGUUGAGAAAAAAAAUACGCAAAAUUAACACGUAUAUCUAUCUACUUGAUGAAAUAAAAUGUAAUUCUAAAUUCAAAUGUUUUGAACACUUGAUGCUAUUUCCGAUUCAAAGUUCUGUUGCUUUCUCUGGCUUCCUUAUUUUCUUGUGCCUGUUAAACUUUCUACCAUAAAAAAAAAAAAGAAA
Dermacentor andersoni is the source of this 968-nucleotide long non-coding RNA. RefSeq lists it as uncharacterized. The record is from RefSeq and is a predicted model, not a curated record. NCBI's taxonomy places the organism in Eukaryota, Metazoa, Arthropoda, Arachnida, Ixodida, Ixodidae.